Long non-coding RNA from Hemibagrus wyckioides, 1391 nucleotides. RefSeq lists it as uncharacterized. The transcript is spliced from 4 exons. The record is from RefSeq and is a predicted model, not a curated record. Lineage: Eukaryota; Metazoa; Chordata; Actinopteri; Siluriformes; Bagridae.
GCUGCCCAAGCCUGUGAUUGUCAGACUCUUAUCGGAAUUUGGAGGAAUUAAUGAGCUGCGAGGAUUUGGAUGGAAAGUGGUCAGGUGUUGUAAUUGGAGUGUAAAGAGCUGAUAACAGAUUGACGAUGAGCAUAAUAAAAUCUUCAAAAAUGGACUUCCAAUUCGUUUCCAUUAGUCACCAGCUUAAUGUUAAAGGGAAACGGAACAAACAGGUGGGUGGGUGUGUGCUCGCGUACCACAUGAAUGAAGGCUGUUUGAACUUUUAUUGUCGAAGGCAGGCUUGUGUAAGUAGCCAUCUGUGUACAAAUAUUGAACAUGAACAGCUGAUUAGUCUUCAUGUAUGAACUUGCUUUGGUGUACUGUACAUCUAUAUUGACUAGAAAUUCUCUUAACAUGUGUAACAGGAAAGAACUCAAAAGAGAUUGUGUCGUGUGAUGCAGUUGUAAAAAAUAAGGUGAGGGAAAAAGCUUCUCAAGCUCUUCCUUGACCACAACAGAGCAACAGAGAGAAGACCAUUGGUCCAGUACUGAUGCUGUAUAGACUGAAGGUCACUGAACUCAAUGCAGAUGAUAUGCUCAGCUGAUCAUACCACCCUCUGGUGAGCCUAUCUAUCCUGCUUGGUGCUGUUCCCAAAUGAGACUGUGAUGCCUCCUUUCAAUGGUGCAGGUAUAAAAUUUCCCUAGGGCAGUUUAAAAUCUCUUAAGCAUCUAAGGUGGUAAAGGUGCUGACAUGCCUUCCUCACCAGGGAGUUGAUGUGUAAUGACAGGUCCUGCAUUAUAUAGCCAAAUAUGUACCAGAAAGAUGCAAUCUUAAAUAAAUGAAAAUUUGCUGAUUGCUAUUUGCACACUUUGGCCAAAGCAUGCUUAAAACUGUUAAAACUGAGCCACCACCCCAGUACAAAUGAGUGCAUUAUAUUGUUUUGCAAUUCUUUGACUGUUGAAUAUUUGUGGAAAAUGUAAUUACAUUGUUAUAUAGUAUUUAACAUAAUAUGGAGUUAGUUUGUGCUUGUGUAAAUGAUUCUGUGAUUAAUUAUAAUUAUAAUAAUGUGAUUAAUUGUUAUGUUUGUAUCUACACAAGCAUUCUGUAACUGAGAUAUAUUGCAUUGCCUUAUUAUUUAUUGGAAUAUUUUGGAACUUUUAAAAAUAUUUGCUAGUGUGCUGAAAUCUGGGUUAGACAUCCUAUUGCCACUUUUGCUUUUACGAGCUAAACAAUGGUAAAAUUGAACAAGCUAGUGUUCAUUUCUUGUUGAUGCAUUGGGCAUGUUUAUCCUCGUUUGUCUUUUUCAGGUUCUCAAGUUCUCUGUACACUUACUUCUUGUUUCUACUUUCAAGUUGCAAUGUCUGUCUUUUUCAGUCCAAAAUCAAAUAAAUGAAAAAAUGUUCAGAGCUUUG